GCUGACGAGUGGCCUUCGGGUGAGUAAUGUCUGGGAAACUGCCUGAUGGAGGGGGAUAACUACUGGAAACGGUAGCUAAUACCGCAUAACGUCGCAAGACCAAAGAGGGGGACCUUCGGGCCUCUUGCCAUCGGAUGUGCCCAGAUGGGAUUAGCUAGUAGGUGGGGUAACGGCUCACCUAGGCGACGAUCCCUAGCUGGUCUGAGAGGAUGACCAGCCACACUGGAACUGAGACACGGUCCAGACUCCUACGGGAGGCAGCAGUGGGGAAUAUUGCACAAUGGGCGCAAGCCUGAUGCAGCCAUGCCGCGUGUAUGAAGAAGGCCUUCGGGUUGUAAAGUACUUUCAGCGGGGAGGAAGGGAGUAAAGUUAAUACCUUUGCUCAUUGACGUUACCCGCAGAAGAAGCACCGGCUAACUCCGUGCCAGCAGCCGCGGUAAUACGGAGGGUGCAAGCGUUAAUCGGAAUUACUGGGCGUAAAGCGCACGCAGGCGGUUUGUUAAGUCAGAUGUGAAAUCCCCGGGCUCAACCUGGGAACUGCAUCUGAUACUGGCAAGCUUGAGUCUCGUAGAGGGGGGUAGAAUUCCAGGUGUAGCGGUG
RNAcentral lists this ribosomal RNA (600 nucleotides) under Escherichia coli. RNAcentral describes it as "bacterial SSU rRNA". It matches the Rfam family "Bacterial small subunit ribosomal RNA", at positions 87 to 683 of the family's 1533-position model. Lineage: Bacteria; Pseudomonadati; Pseudomonadota; Gammaproteobacteria; Enterobacterales; Enterobacteriaceae. The record is from RNAcentral.